Molecule: unclassified non-coding RNA, 362 nt
Filed under: fungal sp.
Lineage: Eukaryota; Fungi
Description: partial internal transcribed spacer region
Rfam family: Eukaryotic small subunit ribosomal RNA (bases 1-46)
Source: RNAcentral
AAGUCGUAACAAGGUUUCCGUAGGUGAACCUGCGGAAGGAUCAUUAAAAAGAUUAUAAAUCAUAAACUUCUUGUGCAUUUGUAUAAGUAUUGGCCUUUCCGGUUGAGGUUUUACAGGGUUUUAGACAUUUAAUAAAUUGAAAAUUUAUUUUUAAUGAUUGGACAAAAAGUUAUUUUGGACAAUAAUUAAAUUUAGGUUAGCAAUUUUUAUUUUUCUAAGACUUUCUUGACCGGGAGGUUUUGUUAAAACUAUUUUAUUUUUCAACUUUAUAAAGUUAAUAACCUGGGUGCAAUAAUUUUUUAUUGUUCACAGUUAAAAUUAUUAAUAAAAAACAACUUUCAACAAUGGAUCUCUUGGCUCUC